Molecule: ribosomal RNA, 439 nt
Filed under: uncultured bacterium
Lineage: Bacteria
Description: partial 16S ribosomal RNA
Rfam family: Bacterial small subunit ribosomal RNA
Source: RNAcentral
UAGGGAAUCUUCGGCAAUGGACGAAAGUCUGACCGAGCAACGCCGCGUGAGUGAAGAAGGUUUUCGGAUCGUAAAACUCUGUUGGUAGAGAAGAACGUUGGUGAGAGUGGAAAGCUCAUCAAGUGACGGUAACUACCCAGAAAGGGACGGCUAACUACGUGCCAGCAGCCGCGGUAAUACGUAGGUCCCGAGCGUUGUCCGGAUUUAUUGGGCGUAAAGCGAGCGCAGGUGGUUUAUUAAGUCUGGUGUAAAAGGCAGUGGCUCAACCAUUGUAUGCAUUGGAAACUGGUAGACUUGAGUGCAGGAGAGGAGAGUGGAAUUCCAUGUGUAGCGGUGAAAUGCGUAGAUAUAUGGAGGAACACCGGUGGCGAAAGCGGCUCUCUGGCCUGUAACUGACACUGAGGCUCGAAAGCGUGGGGAGCAAACAGGAUUAGAUAGC